UACGAGGGGGGCAAAUGUUGUUCGGAAUCACUGGGCGUAAAGGGAGCGUAGGCGGGUUUCUAAGUAAGGUGUUUAAUCCCGGGGCCCAACCCCGGACAGGCAUUUUAAACUGGAAAUCUUGAAUAGUGGAGAGGUCAGUGGAAUUGGGGGUGUAGCGGUGGAAUGCGUAGAGAUCCCCAAGAACACCAGUUGCGAAGGCGGCUGACUGGACACAUAUUGACGCUGAGGCUCGAAAGCAUGGGGAGCAAACAGG
Molecule: ribosomal RNA, 253 nt
Filed under: uncultured bacterium
Lineage: Bacteria
Description: partial 16S ribosomal RNA
Rfam family: Bacterial small subunit ribosomal RNA
Source: RNAcentral